This 492-nucleotide ribosomal RNA is filed under the name uncultured bacterium. Its description in RNAcentral is "partial 16S ribosomal RNA". It matches the Rfam family "Bacterial small subunit ribosomal RNA", at positions 29 to 507 of the family's 1533-position model. The record is from RNAcentral.
AGUGAACGCUGGCGGUAGGCCUAACACAUGCAAGUCGAACGGCAGCACAGUAAGAGCUUGCUCUUACGGGUGGCGCGUGGCGGACGGGUGCGGAAUACAUCGGAAUCUACUUUUUCGUGGGGGAUAACGUAGGGAAACUUACGCUAAUACCGCAUACGACCUACGGGUGAAAGCAGGGGAUCUUCGGACCUUGCGCGAUUGAAUGGGCCGAUGUCGGAUUAGCUAGUUGGCGGGGUAAAGGCCCACCAAGGCGACGAUCCGUAGCUGGUCUGAGAGGAUGAUCAGCCACACUGGAACUGAGACACGGUCCAGACUCCUACGGGAGGCAGCAGUGGGGAAUAUUGGACAAUGGGCGCAAGCCUGAUCCAGCCAUACCGCGUGGGUGAAGAAGGCCUUCGGGUUGUAAAGCCCUUUUGUUGGGAAAGAAAAGCAGCAGGUUAAUACCCCGCUGUUCUGACGGUACCCAAAGAAUAAGCACCGGCUAACUUCGUG